Molecule: non-coding RNA, 16922 nt
Organism: Peromyscus maniculatus bairdii (prairie deer mouse)
Lineage: Eukaryota; Metazoa; Chordata; Mammalia; Rodentia; Cricetidae
Source: RefSeq, a predicted model, not a curated record
GAACCCAUGAAAAGUAGUCACAUCCUCUAUAAAGACUCCCCUGGGAACAGUCUGGUUUUCAGGGUUACAUCCCACCCAAGAACACCCUGGGAAUUCAGGCUUGACUUCUCCCCAGGUGUGGGAAAGGCAAGCUAACUUGACCCUGUUCUUUUUUUCUCACUGAGGUCACUGUUCUUGGCACCCACUUCUUCCUCUAGUAGACACCAACAAGGUGCAGUCACUAUCUCAAUGGAGCUUCCUGACCUGCUGCUUGGCUCUGGGAGAAACUGGAUUUCUUUCCUUCCUUGCUCGUGGAGAUCACACCCAGAAGGUAAGGAGAUCCUAGCUUCUAGGGUAUCUUUUGAUUCUGGGAAAGGGAGGUUGACCCAUACCCCUGCUAUGUGGAAAGAUACUGUUCUCUUGGCCUAUCACCUUCAGGGAUGAUGCCUAUGCCUGAUGGGAAGCUCAGCUCCCACCCUCUGGAUGACGGUUCCCUUUGAGAUAACCACUCCUGUUGAAUCCUUGGAUAGAAUCCGUUCAAGAUGGAUGCCAGCUUCAUACAAGGGCACCAUCAGACUUGGCCCAAGGUACGUGGGAGUAGAGUGGGUCCAGGUAAACCCAGGCACUAGGGAUGUCUGUGGCCUAUAGCCCAUACACCCCGUCUUCAGAACACUUGUGAAUUCAGGUUGCUCCAGCCCUGCUCUCUCUCUUUGUCAGAGAAAAGUACCAUCAGCUACCAAAAGCACAUACUAGAUGGCCAGUCUGUGUAAGAAUCCUCAGAAUGGAAGCCCAAAGCCCAGGAAGAUCUGAUGGAUCAAAGGACACAGGAUGUGCCAGUGAAGGUCACAGUCUUCUUUGUACUGGACCCUCAGCACCCAAGCUGCACUAGUGAGGCAUGAGAUCCUUCUGCCACAUCUUGGCAGGUAUAAUCCCAGCUCCAUUGAGGGAACAUAAAUAUUUCCCCGGGUAUAGGGAAGGAGAGCCUAUUUCACAGCCUGGGCAUAACUGGGACUAAGCCCCAUGUCCUCCAGAGAUAUACCAUUAAGACUUGGGAAGCCAUUUCUAAUGGAGUGUCCAUUUGUCAAGACAAACUCCUUGAGUAGGCCAAAAGGAAGCUCCCUGGGGGCAGAGUGUUGUCCCUCAUAGGGGAAAGGAGUCUGAUCAAAGAACACACAUGUAAACUGAUGCCAGCAGACCCUUCCUACCAAGUGAUGUCUUGGGUGGCUCCCACAGGCCAUCCAGCUCUGAACAAGUACUGGGGUCCUUACAAGGUGAUUUCCUCGCAUAUGGAGACAGAUUUCCACUCCGUUUGCUUUCUUUAUUUUUCUCCCUUUCAUUGUUUGAGUUACGUUUUUAUAGACAGAAUCUCUCUGGCCUGGAAUUCACUAUAAAACCAAAGUCCCCAGAAUUGAAUGUAUGCCAAUCCUCCUGCCUCAGGCUCCCAAAUACUGUAACUUCAGAAAUGGGCUAUGGCAAGCUAAGAGUUUGCUUUCUUUCAUGUAUAUGUACAUAUAUUUUUUUAAUUUGUUUUUUUGUUUCUUUUCUUUUUUUUUUUUUUUUGUCUGUGUGUGUGUGUGUGUGUGUGUGUGUGUGUGUGUGUGUGUGUGUGUGCCGGAGUCUAUGCAUGUGUAACAAGUGCAUUCAAGAGUCUGCGGAGAUCAGAAGAGGCCAUUGGAUCCUCUUGAACUGGACUUACACAUGACUAUGAGUCAACCUUAUGGAUUCUGGGAACCGAACCCAGUUCUUCUGAAAGAGCAUUAACUCCUGAGCCAUCCCGCCAGCCCUCCAGGGAGACUUGCUGGAUGGUGGAUGUCUCUGAGAAGGCGGGGUCCACGGGCAGCCUCUUCGAUGUUUGCAGAGCAGUAAUCCCUUGUGCUGUUGGCUUCAUUUGUGGUGAUCAUACAAGGACAAACCCAGUGCUGCUGUGGAGGUUCCAGGUCAUGGAGAGCUGAUAAAAAUGUCACCAGGAUGAGAGGUCUUCCCGAUGUGGAGGUGUGGAGACUGCAGGGUGCCCUCAAGGUGGGGACUGGAUGAGCCAACAUCAGGAGCGAGCAGAGGACUGCUGACCUGCAGCAAGUGGCCUCCCCUUCUCCUCUUGAAAGCUUCUCAGUGCAGACUCUGGACCAAGGAAGUUUCAACUUCAGAGAAAGAGGACAAUGCCAGCAUCGUUGCGAGGAAGGUGAGUGGACACCCCGUCCCACUCCACUGUGUUCCAAGAACACUUAUCCCCCUCCUCACUAACACUCAGCAUCCAAUCUGCCUGCAGGUUGGUGGUUGGAAACCAUAACCCUUGGAGAAGUGGAAGGGGCCCUUUGUCUGUCUUGUCUCUGCUUUUCUGUGGUACUUGAAGAGAAGUUGUUCGUGGUGGAUUCGCUUUACUUGUGCCGAAUCAUUCACGGACAACACUUUUUUCAGUACCAAAUGCUACCUCUAAGGAUUUCCUGGACACGAUGGCAACUUGCAGAAAGAUGGCCUUUCAGUCAAGCUUGUAGAGAAGUCAAGUAUGGAUGGUUGGCCAUGGACAGUAUGCUUGAGCUAGCUGUGAGUCACCUGUUCUGGUUCCCUGAGCAUCUGACCCAUCUGUAGGCCUCUCAGUGAGCUGUGCCAACCUUGGGGAGGCAGCUCUGGUUUUACUACCGGCGUCAAUCACCUCACAAGACUUUGAAGAGAGGCCAUCUUCCAGAAGAGAUGUUGGUGCCAGCACCAUUCAGGGUGUGUGACUGGUUGACCAGAGGGGCGUGCACUCUGUUCACCCUGUGGGCCACCUAGUCACCAACCCUCAGCAUCAAUCUCACUCAAAGAAGACUCUCCAGAGAUCCUGUCAAGUUUGGGGAAGUGUCAAUGGACUUGAUGGCUGUGCCCGCUCAGUGGACCAGGAUGAACUGUGGUCUUGGGGGUGUAUGUUUACAUAAGAUGCCAUGAGGCAUCCAUGGUAGCUGCUGCAUCACUAUCACAGCCUACUUGAAGUGUUGACUUCAGAUGUGGACAUGAUGUUGACGUCCCAUGAGGGACCUGAAGUCCCUUCUUUCCUGGGUGUGUGACUGAAUUGUACUUCACUAAGCAUGUGCCUUACUUAGCUGAUGUAUCUAUCAUCUGGUCCUCUAACCUCAGUUUCUUGUCUCUCUGCAGGAGAGUCUGUGAGAUACCAUCAUGGUUGUCCUGCCAUCACCACACCACCACGGGAGCUUCGAGUAUGUGCUCCCUUUGUGGAAACUGUGGAAUGGCACCCCCUCCGGUCCAGGAGGACUAACCGGAUCUAAUGGCAUCACCAUCCCCUUCAGGUAAGUGUGCCUCGGGUGAGCAUGCACUCAAUGUAGGUGUAUGUCACUCGGCUCGGCCCACUACCCACUGCUGUCCCUCCCCUUCUUCCCAGGACAGAGGAUGUGAUCACCGCUUGGCAAGAGUCGACACGUUCUUCACUGGCGUUCAUGUCUGGUACUUGAAGAGAGGCUGGCUGUGAUGAAUUCGAUUCAUCUAAACGAGUCAUACACGGCUCUCCUCUCUUUUAGUGCCAAACUCUGCCUCAGAGGGCUUCUUGAACCAGUGCUGUUUCCAAGGGUCCUGUCCACUCUCAGAAGCUACUCCCAAGCUGCCCUGCCUUGAAGAAGAUGCAGGAAUGCUGUGAGAAGUACCACCUCCUGGUACUCAGAGGGAGGUUGUCCGUGGUAAGUUUACACGAUUUAAUGAUGCCCAAUGAACGGUUGACCUCCUUCCAGUAUCACACCUCAUCAGGUGUCUUCUUAGACCUGAUGCCAGUCUUGAGGAAGCCACGUUCAUGUUGUUUUAUACUAGUGUCCUUGAACAUGUGUUUGCCUCUGUAACUAACAGACAGGCCUGCCAGUGUUCCCUAACUCCAUCGAGGCCCUUCAUGGAGAGCGUUGCCAGCAUUGAGAAAGACACCUAUGUUAUAGACUUAAGGCAUGGAUGUAGUGGUGCCCAUGGUAUCUCUUGUUUCUUAUCUAUUUGUAAAGGAAAAUAACAGAUCUCAUCCCCCUUCUUCCACUGCUAGCAAAUCUUGUCUUACAGGGAGGACUUCUAGACAUGUUGGGAAAUUCAGGAAUGGGUUCCAGGGGUGAACAUUUUGGGGAGAGGGGAAGAUAAGUAAGUGGAUGAUUUUCCAUGCCUGUCACCCAGGAUAUCAGAAGAAUGGAGCAAAGUGGGAAGAAAUAUUUUCUAUUUCCUAAUUUUCUUUGUGAAAAGAGUAUUUAUUUACUCUACCUAUUCAUAUAUUUAUAAAAAAGAUGCAUGCUUGUGAUAAAAAUUCAAGCAAUAUGAAAAAAUUAAAUUAAAAAAAUUACAAAAGUUUCCACCCACACGUAAACAACUUUAAGAAUUUCAAACUUCCUCCUGAGACUAUACACACAAAUGCAAAGGGAGGCUGAGAGAAAACCGUUUCACAGGGAUGAAUCUACCCUGUGUCUAAUCAUUUUAUUUAAAAUAUUCAUUAUUUUAAAUAAUUUCACUUGUGCUUAACAUAAAGAAACAACUAAAGGAGGCUGGAAGAUUUAGUAAGCUUCCCCUUUUGCCUUACUGAAGCAAGAGUCCAACACCACUAAGAAAGGUGAUGUGGAAAGCAGUGAGUAGUAGAGAAUCAGUUCCCCUGCUGCUUCUGACAGCUGCAGACACGACCAUGCUCCCACACCGACCCACAUGCUUUCUUUACUAGGGUUAUGCAUUUUAAUUUUUCCACUGGGAAAAAUUAGAAAGUAAGUCUUAGAAGUGUUGAAGAUUGGUCCUCAGUAUGAAUAGCUUUGGCCACUUGUUUUGUUUAAACUCUGCCUUCUUUUUUUUUGGAGUCUUUAAUUCAUCUCUCAAUACAAUGAGGAUUUUUGUCAUUCCUUCAAGAAUGUCUCACAGGUACUACCCUUGAGUUCUUAAGACUGGUCUCUUGCUCUCAACCACAGGGGACAGAUUAGCUGGGUAUAGAAUUCUCGGCCUACUUUAGACGUUUCCUCUGAGAAUGUCCAUACUUCGCUAUCAUCUUCUGUAUUAUUUUACUACCCCUUUUGGUGUAGCUUUCAAAAAACUUCUCAUUUAUCUAGAUAUAUUGUCUAGUGGGUCCUCCUUUGUAGUUCUAGAAAGUGAACGCACAGCCUUCUGCAUACUAGACAAGCAUCCCCACCUAGCCACACCAAAGCCCAUUGUACUCUCAGUUCUGCAUAUACUUUGGGGAGAGACUUGGGAGUACUGCCUACUGUGAGGUCUCUUAUCUCCAGGAAUGUCCCUCUAACGCCUUUAUAACUCUCCUUUUCAUGACUUUGUUAACUUUUCACUGUCUGUCUAUAAUCAGCCCAGAAUUAAAAAGUUUGGGUUUGCUCCUUUCUUUCUGGGUGUAGGGGUCAAAAUGCAAAUGGCUCAGUCGACAAAGCUCUUGCCAUGCAAGCAUGAGGCUCUGGGUUUGACCCCAGUGCCCAUUAAAACCCUGUCUCGAAAAACCAAAAAAAAAAAAAAAAAAAAAAAAAAAAAAAAAAAAAAAAAAAAAGCUAGGUCAUGGCAAUGUGCACCUGUUAUCCCAGCACUGGGCCGGGGUGGGGGGCAGAGACCAAAGGAUGUGUCCUGGGGUGCUCACUGGACAGCCUGUGUAACCAACUCAGUGAGUGAACUCCAAGUCCAAUGAGAGACACUAUUCAAAGCAAUAAAGUAGGGAGCAAUUGAGGAAGUCACUGGACGUUGACGCCUGGAUUCUGUACACAUUUACGUGUCCCCUGUGCACUCAUUACCCUCCCCCACCUGCACACACAGUUAUAACAUGGUGGUUUGCAUGAGGUUCUGUCUGGUACUUCAAAGGUUUCAUCAAAUUUAUUGGUGAAUUCUCUGCUCCAUUUGUUGGCUUGGACCUCAUGACUAGUAUAAAUUCCCCCAUCUUUGUCCUGGAACCUUGACAUCUCACGGUUGUCACUGUUCCAUCUUUAUGGCAGUCCUCCCUGUUGUCAUUUGCAUCACAAAUUCGUUUCGUUAAAGGAAUCAGACCCCUUUCUCGGUGUCACCUUCUGUCUUGACAGGAUGCCUAAUUGCUGCGCCAGCCUCUGGGAUGGACAGGGACCCAGGACCCACCAUCCUUGGGCAGGUAUGUGAACUUGCUCUCAAUUAUUUGUUUUUCUCACAUGCAGUGGGCCAUUCAUUAACAGUUACAACCUGUCUUUAGGCAGACAUCUUGGAAGUUUGCUUGCCAUGAGAAGUGGGGCCAUGACCCUAAGGUCAGUGCCACACCAUGGUGUCACAUAGUUGGCACUCAGUGCUGACACUGUUUUGAUGACCAGUAUUGUAGAGCUAGCCUCUCUGUGAGCUCUGCAGGCAAUCCCUAGGCACAAGGCCUAUUUAAAAAAAAAAAAAAAGAGCAUCAUUGCUGUUUGCCUCAAUGCUGAUGUGAAGCUAGGGACCCUCCACUCUUACGAUACACAUGAUAAAAUCUAUGCACGUAGGGCCUCCUUUAUCAGACUCUGUAAGGCGCUCCUUAGACACUCCGUCCUCGGCAAUGGUGCCAAGGCUAGAUGACUACUUCAGCGGGGGAGGGAGGAUUGGAUGUGGGGUGUGUGAUACAGCCUCAAGCCCUCUUGCAGUCAACGCACUAGCCUGCUGUGUUCACUGUGCUCGGGGGACUUCCUGGAGGAAGCCAGCUUCAGAGAAGAGACACUGGCACUCACCCGCGGUGCUUGAAGAUAGGUUAUCCGUGUUGCCUUCGCUUUGCUCGUGACGAAUCAUACACGGUUGACCUAUUUUUCAGUACCAAAUCCCGCCUUGGAGGAAUUUCUGGGGUUGACCCUCACUUCAGGGUGGGACUUUGGUGUUAGCGCUUCUCCGGGGUAAGUGAAGAGAUCAUUCGCCACAGGCAGGUCCAGGAGCAUACAUGCUGUCCUCACCCAGUGCGUCCCUGGUUCUCUGCGGGACUCGUGGAGGUGGUACCUAUUUGGAAUGAGGGGAAAUGUCCUCAUUUUAUUCCCUCUACAGAUGACAGAUAGUUAAACUUCUCUGGUAUAAAAUGUGGCUCUCAAGUUCAAGUUCAGAGCUAGGAAUUGUGUACACACACACACACACACACACACACACACACACACACACACAUCUACAUGGGUGUUUCCAUCAGCCCUCUUGGCAUGCACUCAUCUCUGGGCUCACUGGAAGAUGUGGCAGUUCUGACCUUCUCACAGCUCUCUAGGACACACCCUGUGCUCCAUUGGGAAACCCUUCUAUGAUAGUGCAAUGGCUUCUGACAGUGGCCCUAACCACAGGCAGGGGACAAGAAAUGGCCCAAGCCACAGGGCACGUGUCCUUUGGCUAGAAUGUGUAGCUAUCUGCCCAACCCUCAGGGAUUCCCUCUUUAGGCCUGCUGCCUGGGACAUGCCAACACAAGCUCCCGAAAUCAAGUGUUUGAACAGAGGUUGUCCAUGGUGUGUUCAUUUUAUUUAUGAUGAGUAUUACAUGGCCAAUCUCCUUUCGGCACUAAAAUCUUCCUGGGAGAGCUUCUCCGGGGGAGUUCUGUCAGCAUCUGUGUGGGGUAAGGAAAUGGAGUAUCCCCUGCUUUUAAAAAAAAAAAAUGAGAUUUAGGUCAUCUGGUUGUCAAUGUAGGAUGUCCCAGAAAUGACACCAACUAUUUUGGGUGGUUCUGUGGUUUUCUGGCCAUUGUUAUAAAGAGCAAGCACAUUGGGUCAAAAACCAUAUUUAGAUGAGAAACUGUCUCAGAUGGAGACAUGCUAUAGGGAAGGAAGAAUCUGAGGCACCCCGGGGGUGGGGCUAGCUGGAUACAGGCCCCCAUUUGUUCAUUCUUCACUAUCAUCCUCAGUGUUCGAGUCCAGGGGUUGUCUCCAGGAAGUAGAACCAGCUACCAGACUGGAAUGUGGGAGGGCAUCUCAUGGUGACAUUUAGUAUUAGAAUGCUGAUGUCCUUCCUCUGACUCCAGUGUCCCUUGUGAAGGAGAGGACUCGGCAGCAUUCAUUACUACCUGGUGCUUGCUAAUGGUGUGACCUUGAGUGAGUCAGCCUGUCAUCUGUCUUGCCUCAAUUUGUCUGUAUGAGAGCGUUAAUGGCUGCUUAUAAGGUAUGUAUGUACACACGCUGAAUGUGUGCUCAGUAUUUUCGUGAUGCCUGGAUUUCCAGGGAAAGUUGGAAAACCAAUGGAUCUUGUAAUGAUGCUCGCUGCAUGAAUGUAGUUACCAUGUGGAUGUCCUUCCACCCUCUGGAGCACAGGUUCCUUGAAGUUGGAAGCCUCGUCUCUAGUACCCUGUAGGGGUACACAGUACGGAUGAUGUUGGAUGAGUGGCAGCUUGACAUGCUUUCUUUGUCGAACCCUCUUCGAGGCCUCUCAGAAGCUGGAGAGAAUGGAGGACGUCCCCAGAGCCUUGUACUUCCUGACAAUGCUGCUUUGUCUGUGGGGUCUUGCUGUCCUCUCAGGAUGCUGCCUUGGAGAGGGAGUCACCCCCUUUUAGGCCAGCCUUCAUUGGUGGGCCAGAUGGACCCUACCACACAGAGAAGUCAUGGUUCCUACUGUGUCAGACCCACCUCAGGACUUCUCUGGGAGACACAUUUUGGGAUUCAGAUUUGGUAUCCAUACAUUUCUGGGUGAGUGACCAGUUGCUGGCCAAAGCCUGGACCCACAAUGCAUUUAUAUAAGCCUCUUUCCACCUGUAGGCAGGAUAGAACUCUGCAAGGCAGUCCAUGAAAGGCUGUUUUGCAGUUGGACCUGGGGGCUCAUUGGAGGUAACACCAGCCUCACUAGAGGGUGGGAGUCAGGGAGCCAGAGCCGAGGGAGGCAGUGCAGCCUCUGGAAGAGGUGCCCUGCACUGCUCUCGGCCUGUGCUGACGUUUGAUUCUGGAGCAGAGGUUGCCCUUGGUGAAUUCGCUUUAUUGAUGUUGAAUCACACAAAGGCAACUUUUGUUUGAGUAUCAAAGCCUGCUUGGGGUGGCUUUGGGGAGGGUCUCUGUGUAUGCCACAUGCUGGAAUGGAUGAUGGAGAUAAGGUGUGAACAGCCAAGGGUGUGGCUCAGAGAACAUGGAUGGUGUAACCAGAUGCAGGAUUCCUGGAACCCAUGAAGAGAUGCCAGUGUCUGCUUGGCAGCUUUUCUCAACCCAAAUCCUCUUUGCCACACCAGCACUUAGGUCCCCUGGUUCCAAACACAUUGGCUACUCUAAUCUGAAGACACCUUGACCAAAUGAGCUCUCCCUUGACUGUGUCCAGGACAAUGGCAGCCUGCCUUCUCUGUCUUCCUCCUCUCUCCAGCUCACUAGGUCAGGAGCUCUUACAUUCCAUCCAUCGUCUCCCCCAACACCCACCCUACUCCCUGUGUGCUUCUCUUUCUCCCCUAUUUCUCACCAAACCUUGUUCUCCAUUUUUUGGAUGGGUUAGGAAAUGAGUAGAGGAGACCAGCAUUUCAUCCCGUUUACAUUAAAUAAUAGUGAUAAAAUAAUCACAAAAUAACACUACAAACUACCGGAACGGCUCGGAGGAAAAUGUGUUCAAUUGACUACAAAUUGGCAGAAGAAUCCAAUUUUCUUGACAACAUUUCAGCUACGACUUUUGACCUGGGGAAACAGUACUCUGUAGACAUGGCAGCCGCAAGAGGCGGCUUGCGAUAGUGGCGGCUGCUGUGAGCAGUAAUAUUUGUGGUAGAUGAACACACAUUGAGGAAUCAAAUCUUCGUUCAGAUUUUUAAAUGGGAAAGAAUUGAUCCUAAUGAAAAUGAUUUGAGGAAAUAACAAGGGAAAUAAAAGAAAUGAAAAUGGCUCAACAGCACAGUCAAGGAAGCUAAACAGGGAAUUGGAUUAAGUUUAAUGGAAUUUGCUCAAAAAAAAAAAAGCUUUUUUUUUUCUUUUUUUUUUUUAAUGAAAAUCAAUGCGGGUGCAGUUUUUGGCCAGGUGGGGAAAAUCUAUGUGCUUAGACUGAAGCCAGUGGGGCAUUAGGAAGACCUGGUCUCGUGCAGGUCCUUCGUGUGGCUAAACUUUAUUUUCUGUCCCAAACCUUUACAGAGCGCCUCCUAGACAGGUGUGGUGACUGCAGUAGUUCCAAGCUGGCAAGGGUCCUCUGGAGGAUGUGAAUGGGUGCCAAUGACAGAGCAUGUACCCGGUGGGCAAUCCUCUUCAGCUUCCUCUAGCCUCAAGAAACAUUCUGGAAGGAUCUUUACUUCGAUGGACCUCAGAGGCAACAGCAUUAUCUUGAAGCUGGUCAGUGGCUGGAGCCCUCUCCAUGACAGGUGCUUGGAGGAAGACAAGGUGCCUGGACAGUUCUAAACAUGCUUGCUGACUAGACCUUGUAUCUACCACUAGCCAUCGCCAUUGCCACUGUGUGGUUCUUAGGAACACUUCCAGGAGGUGACGCCAGCUCAGGAAAGAGCCUCUGAUCCACAGGUCAGUUUCCAGAACACCUAGAUGAAGCUGCCCGUGACGUCUUUUCCCCUUAUGAUAGACUGCUUGCGAGCGGCCUCUUUCUGCACUGCGGCAAGGCUAGACGCCUGUGAGAACUCUUGCCAAUGUCAGAGAAAGGAUUCUGCUGUCGGUCCCACUCCACGGUUUACAAAACGGGUGGUGCGCACAGAAUCCAGCCUCUGCUUGUGGCCCAUGUCAUCAGGUCCUGACCCUCACUGGCUAGCCUUCUCCCGUGACACGCUUGUCCGGGUUCUUCCGAUGAACCGUUCUACACUAUGUGAAGAGAGACUGUUUAGGGUCCGGUUGCAUUGUUCUUCCUCUCCUCCAUCCAUGUUUGUCUUUGACAUUUUAACUGCUUUGUUUAUGGGCUGAAUGGUCAAGCAGCUCUUGCUGUUACCUCUUAAACCGCCUGUGAGGGAUGACAGGGUGGGGGUGCCAGGUUGCGGGGUAUGCGGUGGUUGGGCCCAAAGAGGAGCAUCUCUAGAUGAUGGCAUCAAUGCCACUUUGCUCCUUCUGGAAGGCAUCCUCACUGAGAGGGUGGAGGGUGUGCAUGCAGGAUCUUAGGGCUCCCCUGUCUCCAGGGCUGGCAAGCGAGUGUUGAGAGUGAGCAGAGUUCUGUGUUCACUUCCUGCACUGUGCCCACUUCUCUUGCUCAGUGCCAUCCCCUGCCUACCUGGGUCUCCAGGUCAACCUCAGGGAAGGCUCUAGAUUCUAGAUAUUCAUUCUGGGGAGAUGAAAGGAUGGCAGAUGCGCCGGGGAGGUGAUGGGAUAAUUGCUCUCAGGUAGUGGAGGGUGGCUCCUUGCUGAAUUGGGGGUGGGGGUUCAAACUCUGAGGGACUCCAGGGAUGGGUCUUCUGGAAACACAGCCACCUUGAAGCAUCGGCCUUGGUCUGAGCAUCCGAGCCUCUCCAUGGUACUCGGAGAGAGGUUACCCGAGCAACUUUGCAUCUGGAGGACGAAUGUUGCUCGGUGAACCCCUUUUCGGUAUCAAAUCCCUCCAGGGAGGCCGAGUGGAGGCCCCGGCACCUCAGGGAAGAACGUGGAAUCGUCUCUGCUCUGGGGUAUGGGACGGAUGGUCGACCAGCUGGAAAGUAAUUGUUUCUAAUGUACUUCACCUGGUCCACUAGCCGUCGGUGCCCGCUGCAGCCUGCGUCUAGGAUGCCACUACCUCGGCUCAGCACCUCUGCUGGUACUUGAAGGGAGAUCGACCGUGUUAUAUUCGCUUGGCUGACUUCGAAUAAUACAUGGUUGAUCUUUUCUCAGUAUCAACGCUCAGCUUGGAGAAGCACUUGGAGUUGCAGCCCCCGUGGGGGUGGGAAACGGGAUGGUGCUUCUAGAUUGCUACCUCAGUGGGGACUGGGCUGGGUGGGACAGGCUGUGUGCUGUCUGUGUCCAACGCCUCUCACCAUUCAUCUCUACCUCACCCCCCCCCCUCCCCAGGACAGCUUCAGGAGGUGAUGCAAAUUCCAUGGAUGCAGCAGCCAGCACUGGGUACUUGAGGAGAGGUUGUCUGUGAUGAGUUCGCUUUAUUAAUGACGAAUAUAACACAGAUGGCCUGUUUUCAAUACCACCUGUCACUCCUGCCACUCAGCAGUACAUACCAGGUGCCACAGCACUGCUCGGUAGGUGAAUGCAUGGACUCUGUAUGACACUUGCCACCCUCUUCACCGAGCCUCAGCUUCACAUCCAUCCUGAGGAGCUUCCUGGGAUCACACCAACCUUGCAGGCUGGCCACAAAGCAUUGGCCUGGUGUGCGAUGGAUGACCAGAAUCUCUCCACUUGCCAUGCCUCUUGCUACAAGAGUGGGUGUCUGUCCCUAUCUAAGGCAUUCCACUGAGGGCUGCAUGCCCGCAUGCCCUGCACCUGGGGUGCCUCCCAGUACCAAAAGGAUGGCAUAACACUUGGGAAAGAACCAGGCCAGCCAGUUGUUCAUAUACCCCAUGAUGGGUUUCCAUUCCUCAUAAUGAUAUUAUACAUGGUCAUCUCUCUCUAGUAUUGGAUCUCACCUUUGUGAGCCUGGGUGUCAGGGGAGGGACAUGCAUUGCUGGCCCACUGGACACAGCUUGAUGGUCAGGCAUGUAUCUGACUCAUCCUGAUCCAGAGCAUCACAUCUCCCUCAGUGGGGGUUAGGAAGCCCAUCUGAGAGGAAGAAGCACCCUAUGUAGAGUCCAUGCUGCUUCGUAGUACCUGCAAUAGGUUGUCUCUGAGAUGCUUACUUUCUGGAUGCUGACAUGCUACCCUGGAACACUUCUGCUUUGAGAUGCUGAUGCCAGCAGCAGAAGCCUCUGUGUUGAUUGACACCAAUGUCUGUGUGUGAGCCUGUGGCCUGGCCUCUUACCUUCCCAGUUCUCCUCUGUUAGAAACAGCGUAGAAUGUUCCCUUGAGUGUAUGAGGCAGUGAUCCCCCAGCUGUGUCCCUACCUCAAGCAGACACGAGUCCCAGACAGGGUGUGGCCCGUACUUAACGUGUGCUUUCUCCAUCUUUGCACUCUGGCUUUGUCAGACUCCUGUGAGCUUGCCAUAGAGGCUUGACCUGAAGAUCAGAAAGCAGCUGAUCAUGCCCAGUAGGAGCCUUGGAGACACAGGCUAGAGACAUUUGGUAUUCAGUAAGGAUCUCCAGAGUGGCAAAGAGUUCUUUCUGAGUAGGCUUGCAUUGCCACUCCCCCCUACCAAUGCAACUAGCACCCUCACCUUGGCAGCUCUACCCUGUGGGCUUCUUCACCUCUUCUGGGCCUCCUUAUCACCAAAAUCCUCUGUGUCCACAGAGGACAGUGUCUCCCUCCCCUCUCCAUCAUCACUCCCCCACAGCCCCGCCCAAAGGGUACGUGGUCUCUCUUCAGUCUCUUCCUCUUGUUCAGGAAGACCUGCCCAUGCCCCUCCCUCUGGGAGCUGGUCCUGGCUGCCUUUUCACUACCUAGUCCAUCCCUCUUCCUCAGCCUUCGUGCUCGCACAUUCCUUUCACUGGAAUUCAGGAUUCCAAGGGGCAUGGAAUGGUCCCUGCUCAGCAGUGCCAUGGAAGGCCGGCUGGCAACAUCUAUCCAGCUCCUUCCUUUUCCACACACUAGCCCCGUCUAUCAGUCUGCUUGUUAGCUGUUCCUCCCAAGCUACCUGCUGUCCCAAACUGCCUAGUACAGUCUUCAUGUCCCCAGGCUCUCCAACCCCACCCCCACCCCAUCCCCCCAAAAAAAACAAUUUCCCAGGGCAGGGACAGACCUUUACAUUUUCCUUCCUCCCUCUCUUCCUCCUUCCCUCCCUCCCUCCCUCCCUCCCCCCCCCUUUCCCUUCCUCUUUUACUUCCCUGGCUUAUCCUCUGCUGUAUUCUAAGCCUUAGGAUCCAGGCCAGGUCUAUAGUGACAGAAUAAUGAAGCGUGCUGAUUGACUAAUAGAGUCCCCAAAGGCAGAAACCAUAUUAAGUUAAUCCCCUGGAAAGUGGUGAGCAUGGAGCAGGAAUUCCAUAAGAUGUGGUGGCUGAUUCCAUAAAUAUGGAAGCUGGGUUUUGCAUAGUCUUUGUAUUUCUUAGAGGCUGUUUGAUUUUCCAGUCCCUCACCCCGACCCCACCCCAGAGCAUCACUCUUCUGAGAGUUGCUGCAUCAGGGGGACAGGUUAGCUAGGUCUGCAGGCUUUUCUCCACUCCUGUAGCUGGGGCCCCACGCUAGUCUUCAGAUUCAGCUGAGCCCAGCCCCCACCCUCCACUCCACGAAGGCCUCUGUGGCAGCCAGCCAGAGGCCCAUAGAGCCCCUUGUGCGGCGGCGGGCCUGAUCUGCUGUCAGGGCUAAUAUUUUAUGCAUGGACCUGAGUAAAUGGGAACAUUUGGAGAUGGAAAUUGCUGUUAAUGGCACAUCUUUGGAAUAUAUUAAGCGUGUGCGAGGCUGCUGCUGGUCUCCCAGUUUAAUUGUUCCAAUGUAAGCGCAGCCACACCACAGCAGCAGCAGGAAGGCCACCCCAAUUCCCUUUACCACUCGAUGGGGAAAGCCCCAGGUACCUCACCCACCAAGGGAGUGUUAUGCUUGAGACAGAAUGUCAGCUGGGAUACCAAGCAAUCAGCAGCGUGCACAUUCCAGACUCAACGGAGAUCCCCCCCCCCAACCCCCCCACCCCAGAGGAUUGACCCCUCCCACUUGAGGCAGACUUUUAUUAAAAGCAAAAGCACUAGAUUUCUCUAUUGUUUGAGGAGAAGAAAAGACAAACAAAGGAUUUUUUUUCUCAUCCAAUGAGUCAAGUGAAAAUGUCUGUCCCCCAGGCCAGCAGGCCAGGCCGGCAGGAAGAAAGUCCCUGGGAGCACUUCAGGGGUCAGAGAAUUCACCAUCUCUGAGAUAGUGCAUAAACCCUGCGUGCCAAGGUCACAGAGCACAGGCCGUUUGUUUCUCUGUGCCUGGCAGACAUUAGAGCCAGUUUACCCAUCCCAUAGUUUCUUCUGGAUGUGACCGGACUGAGCCAGUGGAGCAUUCCUUUACUGUUUUUAAGAGGGGGGAGGUGUUGUGUGUGUAGGGAGUAAGUACUAGCUGUCUCCAGUGAGUAUUUGUGACCUGCACGGGGAGUAGGUUAUGUUUUACAGAAGAGGAAUUUACUAGGACUCAGAGAGGUUGAGGACUUUCCAAGAUAACCCAUCUGGAGACAGGGCUUCAGGCUAUGUGUUCUUAACAUUUCUGCUUGUGCUGGCCCACGUACCUCUAGAAAUGACCCCACGAGCCAUAGAUGACAAACAGCUCAUUGAAUAGGUCUCCACAUCUUUCUGUACAGUGAGGCAGGCUCACUUUUCCCAAGACAUUGCUUGCCAAGAUUGUCAAGCUUUUCUUUUUUCCCUGUUAACUUACCUGGUUCCUCUCCCAUUAACUAAGAUACUCUCAUUCAUGUCUGCCUUAUAAUGGGGCUGCCUACUCCAUCAGGAAACCCAGGGCACUGUGGAUGUUAAAUCUCAGGCCCGAAUUAGCUGUUUUGUUUGCUUCUACUGAAGGCCUGCAUUAACUGUCUCUGUCAUUGUGUGCACGCGCGCACAAUGUGUGUGUGUGUGUGUGUGUGUGUGUGUGUGUGUGUGUGUGUGUGUGUGUGUGUGAAUGAGCCUGCUGCCUCCCAUCAGAGGCUGGAGUGCUGCAUGGAAGAGCUGAGUACCUUCUGGCUGUGUGCUAGGUAGGCUAGGACAGUUCUAAAGAUGUCACUCCUCACAUGAGGUGCUCAGGGGCUAAGUCCCCUGAGUCGGCCAGUUUCUCUUAUCACAUCUUUGAGCAGCUAAGGACUCAAGACUGUAGGAUCCUGUCCCCCUGGGGUGGGGACUUGGAGUCAGACCCACAUCUAGUGAGUCCGUGGUGGUGUUUCUUUGUCAAGAUUUGAAAGGCCGUGAGAACCUGUGGACCCCUAGGGCUGGCUCCUAGUAGAUGCUCAGAAAAUACCUGUCCUCCUGGGAUCAAAUGAGCUUAGAUGCUAGCACAGGGAGAUGAUGAAUAGAUGGCUGUGAGGAGCACUCAGAGGAUGUUUGUGGAAUGAAUAAAUAAAAACACACUUCUUUUUUUUUUUUUUUUUUUUGAAGAAAUUAAGAAACAAGGAAAGGGAGAAACAUCCAGGGCAGACAACAUAAAUCUCCAGCAGUGUCACCAAUGCUAGAGCUGGGGCCGCCGAGAAGCCCCUGUGGAGGUGGUGGGGCCAUUUGUCAUGGGCGAGGACAGGCUUGAGGGCUGGGACAGGGGGCCUGAUGGAGGCCCGUCCAUCAUUUUCUCAUUAUCCCCGCGACGUGGAGGGCAGCUAGCGGAUCGCAGAGCAGCAGCCUCCGACUGAAGGUGGCAGGGUUGGGAGUGCGAGGGACCCCGAGGGAGGGCAGGCUGCCCCAGGCCCUGCCCCCUCCAGGAAGCCUUCUCGCUCCAGCCCAACACACGAUCUCACUUGCUCUCCCGGAUGCUCAUCAUGCGAUCUUUUAUCGACGCUCCUGGGAAGGGGCCCUUGGGAACGUGUCCGCAUGUGUGCCUCUGCUUGCCCAGGUUGCCCACACAGAGGAGGCGCUGUGAAUGCUUGUUGGCUUGUCUCUCCAUUGUAGACAGGUGAACUGGAUUGGUCCUUCCAAAGUAGACGUUCAGGAACACCACCCACUUUCCAUCCGCACUGCUAGUCCUAGGUUGGAAUGGUCCCGUUGGGUAUGACCAUUGGAACAGCUAUGGCUACAAACAAGCCCCGAGGCCUGACCUGAAGCCAUCAAUGGGCCUGCAGCGGCUCUGCCCAUCUUUGUUACUUCUCCCUCCCUGGAUCUCCUGCUUCAGACAAUGAAGCCGGCUGACUGGAGAAGACGCCCCUCUGAGAGGACCAGGACCAUGCAGGACCCAGUGGGAUCCACUAUCCCUGCCACACCCUGUGCCAUCUGCCACUGAGCCCCCCAACCAGUACCCUCUGCUUCUUACCAUUGCCCCGCCCCCCGCCCACCCCAGCCUUGCAUUUUAGAUCUCAGCGGGACCUGAGCAGCCCUUGCUUAGGAACCUGAGGUGGGGGUUGGGUAGGCAGACCCAGGGGACUGAGCAUGGGUAUAAGAAAAGAUUUCUGCUCUUGGCUUUCAAAGUCUCAAUGUGUGGAGCCCUUUGAAUAAUAAACAUAUAUCAUAAAAUGUAAA